UAGCAAUACACACUGGCGCACGGGUGAGUAACGCGUAGAUCAUCUGCCCCUAUCACCGACAUAACUCUUGGAAACGGGAGCUAAUAUCGGAUGAGGUGAGCAAUCAUCAAAGUUUCGACGGAUAGGGAUGAGUCUGCGUCUGAUUAGGUAGUUGGUGAGGUAAUGGCUCACCGAGCCUACGAUCAGUAGCUGGUCUGAGAGGACGAACAGCCACACUGGAACUGAGACACGGUCCAGACUCCUACGGGAGGCAGCAGUGAGGAAUAUUGGACAAUGGGAGCAAUCCUGAUCCAGCAAUGCCGCGUGUGGGAUGACGGGGCUUUGCCUUGUAAACCACUGUCGGACGGGACGAGAAGAGGUAAGAACCUCUGGGACGGUACCGUCAAAGGAAGGAUCGGCUAACUACGUGCCAGCAGCCGCGGUAAUACGUAGGAUCCAAGCGUUGUCCGGAUUUACUGGGUAUAGAGGGUGCGUAGGCGGCUUUUUGCGUCAGAGGUGAAAUCCACGGGCUUAACCCGUGGGGUGCCUUUGAAACGGGAAGGCUUGAGUAUGACAGAGGCGGAUGGAAUUCCUGGUGUAGCAGUGAAAUGCGUAGAUAUCAGGAGGAACACCGGUGGCGAAGGCGGUCCGCUGGGUCAUAACUGACGCUGAGGCACGAAAGCGUGGGGAUCAAACAGGAUUAGAUACCCUGGUAGUCCACGCCUUAAACGAUGUAUGCUUGGUGUUGGAACAGCAAUGUUUCAGUGCCGGAGGGAAUCUAUUAAGCAUACCACCUGGGGAGUACGAUCGCAAGGUUGAAACUCAAAGGAAUUGACGGGGGCCCGCACAAGCGGUGGAUUAUGUGGGUUAAAUUCGAUGCAACGCGAAGAACCUUACCCGGGCUCGAAGUGCAGGUAGUAA
RNAcentral lists this ribosomal RNA (900 nucleotides) under uncultured bacterium. Its description in RNAcentral is "bacterial SSU rRNA". It matches the Rfam family "Bacterial small subunit ribosomal RNA", at positions 83 to 998 of the family's 1533-position model. The record is from RNAcentral.